GCCGAGCAACACCAGAACAAAGUUCAGGGCCUGCUGCAGUCUUGCGAGCUGCACACGGCACAACCGAACAGAUAUUGCGAUAGUACGAGGCUUGUAUAACGAUAGAUCCAGACCUGACCAGGGUUAGUUUAUUGAUGCGACACGUGCAUCUGCCAGUCCUGCACUCCACCUCCCAUUCUUCAGCUCCGUCUUCGUCGUUCUACACAGUGUCUGUACCUCUUGCUUCUGCAUCUGAAUCCCCAGCGGCCAGCGCUGCUCAGGUUCAUGGAGGUCAAGAGGAAGGAUGUAUGGGGACUGCUGCUCGUGCUACUCCUCGGCCAGCUUGUCGCCUUCACCUUGGCUGCGUCAAGCUUCAGCUCCUCCCUAAUUGCUAAUCUUGGUACCCGAUUUCCUCAAUUUUCUCAUCGGGCUGACCCCGUAUACGCUGAAUUACUGGUUCUGUUUGAUGGAAUCCUUCAUAACCAAUAUUAUGUCGAUAGAGAGCAUCAAUUCGUUCCCAUAAACAUAUCUAUGCAGGAGUUGAUGCACCACUCACGCAAUCUUUCUUCACGUACCUUUUGCUGAUCUCAGUUUAUGUGCCAAUUGUCCUGUAUCGACGGCGGAAGCUGCAAGUUGCUUGGUAUUGGUAUCUGGCCCUGGCCUUCAUCGAUGUACAGGGGAACUAUCUUUGUGAGUACUGAGUACAAGGAUCACAGCAUUUACAAAGAAUCCAUGCCACCGAUAACUUUCAGUGAGAUGCUUUUCUAUGCAGAAGAUGAGCAUCUAAACAUAUUGUCAUCCUGAAAAUUAUGAUGCUGUUGUCAAGGCCUACCAAUACUCGUACAUCACCAGCGUAACUUUGCUGGACUGUUGGACUAUUGUACUCAUCAUACUCACCUGGUACGCUCUGGGCACAAGAUAUUCUUUCUGGCAGUUUGUGGGGGCAGGGACAUGUGUGGCAGGACUUGUGCUCCUUUCAAAUGCAAAAGCUACAGAUGAGCAAGGUAAUUAGGUAACUACUUAUAACAUAAUGGCAGUACCAAGAACAAAUCUCCUACGGUAAUGCUAAGCUCCUAACGUCCGACGCCAGCAAAAUAUCGGACGCGACGUGGCUCUUUACCGUCCACGUGAAUCUUAUCCCUUCACAUAUUUAUCCCCAUGAUCUUAUUCACCGAACAAGAUAGUCCUCCAACAGCUCUCUCUCUCUCCACACACAGCAAGUUCCCGGUGGCCUCGUCCCCCACCCCAACGGCGACGCGCUCCCCCACCACGGCGUCCUCCUCGUCCACCCCGGCGGCGGCGCACUCCUCCACUCCGGGAACCUCGUUCCCCACCCUGGCGGCGCCCCUCCCCCAACUCCGACGUCCUCAACCAACCGGGAGCACCCAACGCCCCGGAUCUGUUUUGCAACAGUCUGACCUGCCAACAAUCGGGUGUUGCACCAACUUGUUCAUGAUGUUGCAUAUAGUUGUUUUCUUUGUUUCGUCUCUUCUUCUUUCGUUGUUGUAAUGUUGUAAGAGAUAUUUUUUUUUGUUGCAAUGUGUCUGUUUUGAAUGUUGCACGAAGCAAUUCGGGAUGUUUCAUGCACAUAAAGGUGUUGCAAUCCUCGGUGUUGCAAGCGUUGAUUUUUGAUGUUUCGAUAGUUAUUUUUCAAUGUUGCGACGGAGCGUCCGAUAAAAUAAAAUUAUCGGACGUCCGGGCGCUAGCACUUCUGAAUCUCCUAUACCGGAAUCAUUUCAAGAGCAUGGAAAUUUGAAUGUUGGUUACACAGGAAAUUUUAUGGUAGUUGUACUACUGUUCUUAGUGUCUCCAAUUCUCCAUUGCCAUAUGAACAAUCCAGGAUACCAAUUUAGUGGUAGCUAUGAUGGCAAUUGAACCAAUAUUGAAUGCAACUUGACUUUUUGAGCAUCAUGCAUUGAAAUCUACGUAGUUUCCACAAAAGUAGAUGAAUUUUAAUAUCGCAUGAAAAAAAAAUCAACUUUAUGCAGAUCCAAGAAAAAAUACCACUUCUGGGGGAUGCUCUUGUUAUUGCUGGGACAGUUUGUUAUGCAUUUAGCAAUGUUGGAGAGGUUAGUUAUGGAUUAUAUGUCUGCUGCUAUCAGCAAUAUUUAACCAUAUUUCUAAGAAGCACUUUGUAUUCCUUGUAUGCACAGGAAUACUGCAUCAAAAAGAAAGACCAGCAAGUUGAAGUUGUAGCGAUGCUUGGAUUCUUUGGGUUGCUAGUUAGUACAGUUCAGGUGUAUCCCCUCCGUUGAUUACUUGUUACAGCCAGUGGAGCAAACUGGCAUGAUCCAUUGGCAAAGCCAUCUGCAGAUUUGCUCUCAUUCUUACAUAGUUAAAUUCUCGGCACAAAUGUUUCUGGAAUAAAAUAUGGUAAAUUUAUUAUUCUAGAAAAAAAUCAUGUCACCUUUAACCUGAUAAAUCUUAGAUAUAUAUUUGAAAAGAAGAGCCUAGAAGUCAUUACCUGAUCUCUAACAAUGGUAAGAAAAAUACAUUUUACCAUGAAACUCUUGUAUCUGUCAGUCUGCCACACACCUGACUGAAUUGAUUAACUAGAAGCUCACUCCAGCUUUGGUCUUCUUUGUUCUCCAUUUCCAGAUAGGUCUGUUUGCAGUAUACGCAUUGGCAUUUUCAGUGUUCUACACAGUUACUCCCUAUGUUCUUAAGGUGUUUUCCAUAUGUUGGAAAUGUCGAAUGUUUUUUCAUUUCAGAUAUUUGAAUAAACAAUAAUAAAGCAAAGCUGUUUCAAUAUUAUCAAUUUUUAGUAUCAGCCAGAAGAUGGCCCUCUAAUUGUUAUGUCACAGUUCAACAAUACUUUAGCCUUGAUUCUGACGGCCAUUUUGCAGAAUAGUGGAUCAACAUUAUUCAACCUUUCACUCCUGACAUCUGACAUGUGGGCAAUUGCCAUUCGAGUUGUAUUCUAUCGUCAACAGGCAUGAUCCACAGAUAAACUGGCUGUACUAUCUAGCAUUUGGAGUUGUGGCCAUUGGCUUGAUCAUCUACUCAUUGAAUGAAAGUUCUUUGGACGAUGAAAGAGCUGCAAGCACAGAAGCAGCAGCCCAAUAUCAGCAACUUCAGCGCGAGGAUAAUUCAGAAGGAAGUGGUUCAAAUUCCGGCAUCCAAGAAAGGGCACUUAAGGAAGAAGUUCACAUCUGCUAGGGGGCCCAAUGUACAACUA
Molecule: RNA transcript, 3157 nt
Organism: Setaria italica (foxtail millet)
Lineage: Eukaryota; Viridiplantae; Streptophyta; Magnoliopsida; Poales; Poaceae
Gene name: solute carrier family 35 member F1
Exons: 4
Source: RefSeq, a predicted model, not a curated record